Molecule: long non-coding RNA, 393 nt
Organism: Schistocerca piceifrons (Central American locust)
Lineage: Eukaryota; Metazoa; Arthropoda; Insecta; Orthoptera; Acrididae
Exons: 3
Source: RefSeq, a predicted model, not a curated record
CUCCGCAGGCGUGGUUGCUGUGUUGUGUUUACUCGGCCGAGUCCCAGCGCUUCCGCGACGCCGCGUCUUCUCCGAGAGUGAAAUGCUGUCUGGCUGCUGAAGGCGCCCACCAGCAUCACCUGCGAGGCUCGUGCCCAGCUGCACUUUAACUGUUUCUCUUUCCUGCAUUCAGUGAACGCAUAAAACAACGGACCCGUUUUCGACGUUCAACCGAUAUACGAUGGCUUUACGUCAGUAAGGAGUCACUGACCAGCUCUACACUGUCGGCGAACAUGGAUAACCCGGGGUUCCAGAACGACGAGUGCGGCGCGAUGCCGCGGCUGGCGCGCUCUCCCAGCCUGUCGCCGAGCGAGUGCCGGGUGCACGCGCCCGCCCCCGCCGCCCCAGCCACUG